This 87-nucleotide transfer RNA is filed under the name Candidatus Faeciplasma avium. RNAcentral describes it as "tRNA-Leu". It matches the Rfam family "tRNA". Rfam says of the family: Transfer RNA (tRNA) molecules are approximately 80 nucleotides in length. Their secondary structure includes four short double-helical elements and three loops (D, anti-codon, and T loops). Lineage: Bacteria; Bacillati; Bacillota; Clostridia; Eubacteriales; Oscillospiraceae. The record is from RNAcentral.
GCCGCUGUGGUGGAAUAGGCAGACACAAGGGACUUAAAAUCCCUCGCUGUUACAGGCGUACCGGUUCAAGUCCGGUCAGCGGCACCA